Molecule: ribosomal RNA, 510 nt
Filed under: uncultured bacterium
Lineage: Bacteria
Description: partial 16S ribosomal RNA
Rfam family: Bacterial small subunit ribosomal RNA
Source: RNAcentral
GACGAACGCUGGCGGCGUGCUUAACACAUGCAAGUCGAACGAAGAGCGAUGGAAGCUUGCUUCUAUCAAUCUUAGUGGCGAACGGGUGAGUAACGCGUAAUCAACCUGCCCUUCAGAGGGGGACAACAGUUGGAAACGACUGCUAAUACCGCAUACGAUCUAAACUCGGCAUCGAGGAUAGAUGAAAGGUGGCCUCUACAUGUAAGCUAUCACUGAAGGAGGGGAUUGCGUCUGAUUAGCUAGUUGGCGGGGUAACGGCCCACCAAGGCGAUGAUCAGUAGCCGGUCUGAGAGGAUGAACGGCCACAUUGGGACUGAGACACGGCCCAGACUCCUACGGGAGGCAGCAGUGGGGAAUCUUCCGCAAUGGACGAAAGUCUGACGGAGCAACGCCGCGUGAGUGAUGACGGCCUUCGGGUUGUAAAGCUCUGUUAAUCGGGACGAAAGGCCUUCUUGCGAAUAGUGAGAAGGAUUGACGGUACCGGAAUAGAAAGCCACGGCUAACUACGUG